Molecule: non-coding RNA, 32 nt
Filed under: Homo sapiens (human)
Lineage: Eukaryota; Metazoa; Chordata; Mammalia; Primates; Hominidae
Source: RNAcentral
CUCCUAUCUCAGAAUGGAACGAACAUAGGAUC